This is a non-coding RNA of Pelobates cultripes (western spadefoot toad), 393 nucleotides long. The record is from the annotation of a GenBank genome assembly. Lineage: Eukaryota; Metazoa; Chordata; Amphibia; Anura; Pelobatidae.
AUCAAACUGAAAAAUGUCAUACAUCUGGCACCCAACCUAUGUGCUCACACUGGCCUGUAACUAUCUAUUUUAUUACUAAAGCCAGAGUUUUCACCCACUAGCCACUUGGUACUAACUCAAAGAGCCACUAUGCCAAUCUAGUGUGCCAUUUGACUGGUUCCAGUCUGCUGCUAGUGUUAUGUAUCAUGAACAUCAGGAAUACAGGUUCGUAUCAACUUUAUCAAAUACAUAUUUUAUUCUUCUUCUUCAAAUAAGCUAGUAGGAGGCAGAUGGAUAGGUAGAAGGUAUUCUGUAUGUAGAUACCUAUUUAGACACUGGACAAGCCCUGCAUAAAUCUUUACCAAAUUGCAAUGCAUCCAAUCCAACAGGGCCGGACUGGCCCACCAGGAUACC